This 442-nucleotide ribosomal RNA is filed under the name uncultured bacterium. RNAcentral's name for it is "partial 16S ribosomal RNA". It matches the Rfam family "Bacterial small subunit ribosomal RNA", at positions 338 to 795 of the family's 1533-position model. The record is from RNAcentral.
CCUACGGGAGGCAGCAGUAGGGAAUCUUUCACAAUGGGCGCAAGCCUGAUGGAGCAACGCCGCGUGCAGGAAGAAGGCCUUCGGGUUGUAAACUGCUUUUAUAAGCGAGAAAUAUGAUGGUAACUUAUGAAUAAGGAUCGGCUAACUACGUGCCAGCAGCCGCGGUCAUACGUAGGAUCCGAGCAUGAGCCAGAGUGACUGGGUGUAAAGAGUUGCGUAGGUGGCAUACUAAGUAGCUAGUGGAAUCUGGUGGCUCAACCAUUCAGACUAUUAGCUAAACUGUUAAGCUCGAGACCGUUAGGGGUAACUGGAAUUUCUAGUGUAGGAGUGAAAUCCGUAGAUAUUAGAAGGAACACCAAUAGCGUAGGCAGGUUGCUGGGACGGUUCUGACACUAAGGCACGAAAGCGUAGGGAGCAAACGGGAUUAGAUACCCCGGUAGUC